UUUUUGGGGAGGUAAAAUUUCUCCUAAGGCUAAAUAUCGGCGAGAGACCGAUAGCGAACAAGUACCGUGAGGGAAAGAUGAAAAGAACUUUGAAAAGAGAGUUAAAUAGUACGUGAAAUUGUUGAAAGGGAAACGAUUGAAGCCCGUCGUACCGACGAGAAAUCAGCUCUUCUUGUGCGAACUUGUGGGCGUGCGUGAGCUUUACGGCCUCUGCGGUUUGGUACGUUUGGGCUCUUUGUGGUGUACUUUUUCGUAUGGUAGGCCAAUGUCAGUUUCGAUUAUCAUAAAAUAAUCGGAGGAUGAGCUUCAUCAA
RNAcentral lists this ribosomal RNA (313 nucleotides) under uncultured Glomeromycotina. Its description in RNAcentral is "partial large subunit ribosomal RNA". It matches the Rfam family "Eukaryotic large subunit ribosomal RNA", at positions 288 to 608 of the family's 3401-position model. Lineage: Eukaryota; Fungi; Glomeromycota. The record is from RNAcentral.